AUGCAUUUCCAGGACGAGCCGCUCAUGCGCCUGUUGGGGAGCACAAGAAAAAGAGUUUCUCUGUUGUUGUGUUUUCUUUUUUUUUUUUUUACCAUUGAAUCUCUUUUGCCUUUUUUUUUUAUUGCUCUGAAAUGCUAUUUUCAGCAGCUGCUGUCAUAUAAAUAUCUCUUGUUUUUCUUCUCCUCUUUCCCUCCUGGUGAAAAGGGCAGGGGACCUAUUGAAAAUUCUGCUUUAUCUCUUUCAGGAGAGUUCAAGUGCGGGUCGAACAAUCGAUUCCUCCUCCUUUUCUUUUUUAAGUUUCCUGUCGUUCUUUUGCCCAGAUCAGCAUUGAAGGAAAAUAGGAAGGGCAGCCUGGAGUAUGUACAUCUAUACACCCAGAGACAGCAAGGGAGAGCACGCGAGUGUGUAUGAAAACCAACAGUAUCAUCACAACUCUAAAGAAAGAAUGUGUGUAAUUGGAUUGCUUAUUGGAAACACAGAAGACAGGCUGAGAAGACAGCGCAGCAGUUAAUUCUGCAAAACUUUGACAGAGGUUUCCAAGAAAGAUGCUCUUAUCUGAGGAGCUUCCUCUGGGGUUGGGGGCUCGAACUUUGUAACGGUGGAAACCCAAAUGUGUGCAGAUUGGGGCUAUUUUCCUGCGAUUCUGCAGAAGGAGCACGGAGACGCUGCCUGUCUGGAGUCCCAUAAAACAGAUCUUUUCCUUGUCAUUAAGAAUAUUGAUGUUCAUUAGGCCCGGGCGUCAAUGAGUCUUUGUGCAAAUGAAACGAAAUCUGAGUCAAAUUGUGACCCUGAGCCCAACACGUAACCGCAGAGUGGCUGCAGUCGGGGGGCUGGGGCCGAGAGGUUCCCCUAGCACCAAAACCUCACCACCCCUACCCCGAGACAAAAAAAAUCUCCGCAGCCACAGCGACAGAGCCAAGGGAACGGCCGUCCCCGCCCCCCCAAAUCAUCCUGCUCAUAACGUGGCUUCUGAUAAAGGUGGCACAGAUCAGGGCUACUUUUAGGAGUCUCUCGAGGCGAGCUCUCCGCAUGGAAGCAGAGUUUGCUCCCCGUCCCAGCCCUUGGCAGGGCAUUACCCUUCUGCAGGUAAAGCUCUUUCCUUUUCAUUUCCUCCCAGGGCUUCUCUCCCGCCGCCGCGGGUCUGAGGUUGAUGUUUCUGCUGUACAAACUCCGGGCUAAUAAAGAAAGCUCGAGUCCCGUAAUUCAUGGCGAGGCGCUUUGACGGAGCACUUUCAGUGUUAACAGUGUGACGGGCGCUUUUCGGAGCUAAUGUCUCACUGAUAUUAACGGCCAUGCCCACGGAGCAAAAUCUGCAAUGUAAAAGCGAGCGGCUUGCUAAAUAUUUACAGGCUCGCACAUCGCGCUGUCCCAUUCAUUUCCUUGACCUUUCAUGCAGGGGGAUGGGGAA
RNAcentral lists this long non-coding RNA (1408 nucleotides) under Anas zonorhyncha (Eastern spot-billed duck). RNAcentral's name for it is "lncRNA (ENSAZOG00000006381.1)". Lineage: Eukaryota; Metazoa; Chordata; Aves; Anseriformes; Anatidae. The record is from RNAcentral.